GCUGGCAUGUGUCGACUCUGGGGACCCACCUUGGGAGCCCCAGGAUGGAAGGAGCCCAGGCACUUGAAUCACACCGAGGAGGAGAGCUGUCCAGCCAGAAGUAUCCGCCUUGGACCGUUACAGAUCAAGACAGAACCUUUGAGUAUGUAAAGCUGCUACGAUGUGGGGAUCUUCCCGUGAGAGCAGCCAGCACCCUCUUAGCCAAUUUUCCAGAGCCUUGGUUCUGCUCGCCUUCCCAGAGAGCGUGAUGUGAACCCCAAAGCACCAGACCCAGGAGAAUGAAAAGGAGGCUUCCAGAGAGGCAGGCCUACCUACUUCUGAGCCUUCAGGACUUUUCUUCCCUGCAAUUUGUGUUCCACCUCCAGGAAGUGUGGAGGGACCUUGGAAACCAUUUUCUUUAUAUGACUUAGAGAGCAGAAUUCAGUUCCGGCACCAAGAACACACCUCACCGAAGGGUAAACUCAUAAAGUGAAACAUUUGUUUUCAGACUGAUUGUGGGAAGAGACCAAAGUAAUUAGCCAAAAAGAGUGAACGAUAGGAUUUUUAUGUAGUUUUGUUGCUGCAAAUAAGUAGGCAAAACAAGCAUUGCCUGCCAGAAAUCCUCAAAAGCUUGAUUUUGUGACUACAGAAGAGAAAAGAAUGCACCACGAGAUGGACCAGAGCUAUCAGUCCCAUAAAGGCAGGAAUCAACACUAACUCAGACCUGUAACCAACAGCCUGUGAUCAAGCUGGAAUCCAUUCUUAAGAGACUUGAUCUCCAAUCACUGGGCGUCUCAGAACUGGCUCCAGUUUGGAACUUGGGCUACUGAUCAUGAGUUUCAACUGGGACCUCAGGUGACUGGAAACUCUGACAGCCUGUGGGUUCACCCUGGACACCUGGCACUCAGAAGACAGUGGAUGUUUAUUGAAGGAGUAAAUGAGUUCCGUUUAUGAAAUUGUAACUUUGUUCCCUGUUACCGGCCAUUAAGCAAUCGGUUUGCUUUUGAAUUUCUAUUACCAAAGUAUCAAAUGUAUAUCUGCAUCUACAUCUAUAUCUAUAUACUCCUGUUUAUAGCAGCAUUAUUUACAAUAGCCAAAAGGUGGAAGUGACCCACCAGUGUCGACCCACCAGUGAACACCACUGACAGAUGAAUGGAUAAAAUUACGGUUAUACAAACAAUGGAGUAUCAUCAACCUGAAAGGGAAAGACCAUGUGACAUGUCCUUGGAUAACCUUGAGCACAUUUGGAUGGGCCAAAUAGGACAAAUAUCGUCCUAUUCCACUUAAUGGGAGGCGCUUAUAUUCAUAGAGACAGCGAGGGGGAGAGAAGAAUGGGGAUUCGGUGUUUGAGUUUCCGUUUGGGAAGACGAGAAAGUUCUGGAGACGGAUGAUGGUGAUGGUUGCACCGUAACGCGAAUGUGUUUAAUGCCACUGAACAUCACACUUAAAAAUG
This is a long non-coding RNA of Leopardus geoffroyi (Geoffroy's cat), 1432 nucleotides long. RefSeq lists it as uncharacterized. The transcript has 4 exons. The record is from RefSeq and is a predicted model, not a curated record. NCBI's taxonomy places the organism in Eukaryota, Metazoa, Chordata, Mammalia, Carnivora, Felidae.